AUCACUUGUGAGACUUUGGCUAAGAUCAAGUGUAGUAUCUGUUUUUAUCAGUUUAAUAUCUGAUACGUCCUCUACCUGAGGACAACAUAUUAAAUGGAUUUUGGGAGCUGGGAGAUGGACUAGGAGCUUGCUGCCUCCACUCCAUGCAUCGAUCUGAUAUUGCAGUAGCUCCAGGAACGGGGCCCCCCUG
Small nuclear RNA from Octodon degus (degu), 190 nucleotides. Its record names the gene U2. It matches the Rfam family "U2 spliceosomal RNA". From Rfam's summary of the family: U2 is a small nuclear RNA (snRNA) component of the spliceosome (involved in pre-mRNA splicing). Complementary binding between U2 snRNA (in an area lying towards the 5' end but 3' to hairpin I) and the branchpoint sequence (BPS) of the intron results the bulging out of an unpaired adenosine, on the BPS, which initiates a nucleophilic attack at the intronic 5' splice site, thus starting the first of two transesterification reactions that mediate splicing. The record is from Ensembl. Lineage: Eukaryota; Metazoa; Chordata; Mammalia; Rodentia; Octodontidae.